Molecule: unclassified non-coding RNA, 345 nt
Filed under: soil metagenome
Description: partial contains 5.8S ribosomal RNA, internal transcribed spacer 2, and large subunit ribosomal RNA
Rfam family: 5.8S ribosomal RNA (bases 1-119)
Source: RNAcentral
GAUGAAGAACGCAGCGAAAUGCGAUACGUAAUGUGAAUUGCAAAUUCAGUGAAUCAUCGAGUCUUUGAACGCACAUUGCGCCCCCUGGUAUUCCGGGGGGCAUGCCUGUCCGAGCGUCAUUGCUGCCCUCAAGCACGGCUUGUGUGUUGGGCCCCGUCCUCCGAUUCCGGGGGACGGGCCCGAAAGGCAGCGGCGGCACCGCGUCCGGUCCUCGAGCGUAUGGGGCUUUGUCACCCGCUCUGUAGGCCCGGCCGGCGCUUGCCGACAAACCCAAAUUUUUAUCCAGGUUGACCUCGGAUCAGGUAGGGAUACCCGCUGAACUUAAGCAUAUCAAUAAGCGGAGGA